Long non-coding RNA from Passer montanus (Eurasian tree sparrow), 339 nucleotides. RefSeq lists it as uncharacterized. The record is from RefSeq and is a predicted model, not a curated record. The transcript is spliced from 3 exons. NCBI's taxonomy places the organism in Eukaryota, Metazoa, Chordata, Aves, Passeriformes, Passeridae.
CGGGGCUAACAGCGGGCACCCAGCGCGAGUUCCUCACGCCCCAGCCCUGGUUUUCAACUUCCCGCUGCUUUUAGCUCGCAGCGUUGGAGAGGAUGGCUGUCAGUUCCGCGGAGAUGCAGCUGGGCGAGGAACAGAGGAGUUUCAGUGAUCUGAAGCAGUCUUUCAGUUCCAUUGUUUGACUUGGGCUGGAUUUCUCAGCUACACGCCUGGAUGCUUCAGAGAGUCCUCACUCUCCAUCUAGUAAAAGGUUACAGUUGAGACAUUGUUAUGUUAACCCAGAAUUUCACAGGAUCACCAAACUCCUCCUGUCUUUGUCAUCUUGCAGAAUUUUACCUUCAG